Molecule: long non-coding RNA, 508 nt
Organism: Acanthochromis polyacanthus (spiny chromis)
Lineage: Eukaryota; Metazoa; Chordata; Actinopteri; Pomacentridae
Exons: 3
Source: RefSeq, a predicted model, not a curated record
AAGGUUAUAGUGUUUAUGGCACAGAUAUCUUUUCUAAUAAAUAGUACAAACUGAAAGGACCAAACAAAUGUCUAAAUGUCUGUAUAAGAACAAAAUUGUACGAGGCAGCUUUAAACUCUAUGGUAGCAUAUGUUUUUACACCUCCUGGUCACAUAACUUUAAAAAACUAAAAAUCAUUAACUUUACUAACUUCUGUCUACUUUGUUACUGUGCUCCCUCAGACUCUGGAUGGCUUUGUGUUUGUUGUUGCCUCUGACGGUAAAAUCAUGUACAUUUCUGAAACAGCAUCAGUCCACCUUGGCCUGUCACAGGUGGAGCUGACAGGAAACAGCGUAUUUGAGUACAUCCACCCAUCGGACCAUGAUGAAAUGACAGCAAUUCUAGGUCUUCAGCAACCCCAGCACCAUCACUUCUCUCCAGAGUAUGAAAUUGAGCGUUCCUUUCUUUUGAGGAUGAAGUGUGUUCUUGCCAAACGAAAUGCAGGACUGACACAUGGAGGAUAUAAGGU